GGAGAGCUGUCCGAGUGGCUGAAGGAGCCUGACUCGAAAUCAGGUGUACCGAAAGGUAUCGGGGGUUCGAAUCCCUCGCUCUCCG
Molecule: transfer RNA, 85 nt
Filed under: Deltaproteobacteria bacterium
Lineage: Bacteria; Pseudomonadati; Myxococcota; Myxococcia
Also listed under: 2 other names
Description: tRNA-Ser
Rfam family: tRNA
About the family: Transfer RNA (tRNA) molecules are approximately 80 nucleotides in length. Their secondary structure includes four short double-helical elements and three loops (D, anti-codon, and T loops).
Source: RNAcentral